RNAcentral lists this ribosomal RNA (467 nucleotides) under uncultured Rhodobacter sp. RNAcentral's name for it is "bacterial SSU rRNA". It matches the Rfam family "Bacterial small subunit ribosomal RNA", at positions 382 to 866 of the family's 1533-position model. Lineage: Bacteria; Pseudomonadati; Pseudomonadota; Alphaproteobacteria; Rhodobacterales. The record is from RNAcentral.
CCUGAUCUAGCCAUGCCGCGUGAUCGAUGAAGGCCUUAGGGUUGUAAAGAUCUUUCAGUUGGGAAGAUAAUGACGGUACCAACAGAAGAAGCCCCGGCUAACUCCGUGCCAGCAGCCGCGGUAAUACGGAGGGGGCUAGCGUUAUUCGGAAUUACUGGGCGUAAAGCGCACGUAGGCGGAUCAGAAAGUCAGAGGUGAAAUCCCAGGGCUCAACCUUAGAACUGCCUUUGAAACUCCUGGUCUUGAGGUCGAGAGAGGUGAGUGGAAUUCCGAGUGUAGAGGUGAAAUUCGUAGAUAUUCGGAGGAACACCAGUGGCGAAGGCGGCUCACUGGCUCGAUACUGACGCUGAGGUACGAAAGCAUGGGGAGCAAACAGGAUUAGAUACCCUGGUAGUCCAUGCCGUAAACGAUGUCUACUAGCCGUUGGGGCCUUUGAGGCUUUAGUGGCGCAGCUAACGCGAUAAGAG